RNAcentral lists this ribosomal RNA (460 nucleotides) under uncultured bacterium. RNAcentral's name for it is "partial 16S ribosomal RNA". It matches the Rfam family "Bacterial small subunit ribosomal RNA", at positions 338 to 795 of the family's 1533-position model. The record is from RNAcentral.
CCUACGGGAGGCAGCAGUGAGGAAUAUUGGUCAAUGGACGAGAGUCUGAACCAGCCAAGUAGCGUGAAGGAUGACUGCCCUAUGGGUUGUAAACUUCUUUUAUCUGGGAAUAAAAUGUUCCACGUGUGGGCUUUUGUAUGUACCAUAUGAAUAAGGAUCGGCUAACUCCGUGCCAGCAGCCGCGGUGAUACGGAGGAUCCGAGCGUUAUCCGGAUUUAUUGGGUUUAAAGGGAGAGUAGGGGGAUUGUUAAGUCAGUUGUGAAAGUUUGCGGCUCAACCGUAAAAUUGCAGUUGAAACUGGCAGUCUUGAGUACAGUAGAGGUGGGCGGAAUUCGUGGUGUAGCGGUGAAAUGCUUAGAUAUCACGAAGAACUCCGAUUGCGAAGGCAGCUCACUGGACUGCAACUGACACUGAGGCUCGAAAGUGUGGGUAUCAAACAGGAUUAGAUACCCGAGUAGUC